UUAAGAAUGCCAGAGUGGUAUGGGUUUGCUUUAGGAGCAAAACACGGUUUAAUAACUUUCUUAAG
Molecule: transfer RNA, 65 nt
Filed under: Cichlidogyrus casuarinus
Lineage: Eukaryota; Metazoa; Platyhelminthes; Monogenea; Dactylogyridea; Ancyrocephalidae
Description: tRNA-Leu
Source: RNAcentral